Molecule: long non-coding RNA, 21839 nt
Filed under: Triticum aestivum (bread wheat)
Lineage: Eukaryota; Viridiplantae; Streptophyta; Magnoliopsida; Poales; Poaceae
Description: long non-coding RNA (TAES_LNC017461)
Source: RNAcentral
UUUCCUUCUUCACCCAAAACAAUCAGCCUUAGCUCGGGAACAUUUACAAAAGGAACAAAAAUCCUGGUUGGGAGUCAUAUAGCGCUUUGUUAUUAGCACUUUGUAUCUCCGAAAAAAUAUAAGAUGUAACAUAAGAACCUCAUCUAUCAGCCUUUAAACCGUAGAAAAUUUACGUGAAUGUGAAAUUUAAAAGACAUUCUCGUUUUGGAUUGCCCAUGCAGUUUGUAACUGUGGUUGUGGUAAUUGACACAAAAGAUCAGAUAUAUUCAAGGAUCCUAACUGAACGGAAGUAGUUUAGUCGUGCUAAAGCUACAAAUAUGCUGCAGUAUGUGGCUAUGUGCUUGUGGCAUUUUCGUAUAUGCAAUAAAGUGGUUAUUAUUACAUAGCAAAAUGGUAUAAUAAACAAACACAUCUUAGUUCUAAAUCUGUAUAUCCCUUGGAAAGAAUGAAAACCAGCUACCACCAAACGUCAUUGAAGUUUGGUGAUGUUUUUUUGAGCUCAUCAACGCUGGGGUCAUGCGAUAACAUGCAACUCUGAAAAAUUGUUCAGUCUGAAUGCUGAACAUAAGGUCUGGAGAGUGUCCAUUUGUAUACACUGAUCAUAUUGAAAAGCAAAGGCUUGCCUAAAAGUGUCACUGCUUCUUGAGCACAUACACUUAGCUUAGAGAGUAGUACUAAGGAGCGAUGGAUCCUGUUGAAAAACAAAGAGUAGGCUACCCUAAAAUCUCAAGAGAAUUUAGAUGAAAACGUCGUAUUCCGUUCAACGAUCUCUCUUCAGUCAAAACUCAAAGCGCUGGGUGUGAGUCAGAUCCAGUAUGGCAGGCCGGAGCUAAAGUGUCUGGAGACCACGCGCACGAGUCUAAGCAGGUCGAUGACAGGCGGGAAUGUCAAGCACACCGGGGCACCUUGUAUUGGUUGAUGGGGGGCCCUGCGGGUGAAGGCCUAGUCCAUCAGCUCCUCCGGCUCUAUGGACCCACCCGCCACCCUGCUCUGCUUGUAAACGGUAUUUAGUGCCACCUCCAUCUCCAAGCAGCGAGCGUCGAGGGUCUCCUUGUCCACCAUCGCGCUGGCGCCGGCUCCGCCCGUGGUCAGCAGCUCGCUGUAGAUAACGUAGUGCCCGGGGAUGCUCUUUGUACACGCCUGGCUGGUGUACUCUGCCAUAGACGCGUCGUGGAACGCUCCUCGCGAUUGCACUGCAAGGACAUCCGUCCACAAAGCGAAUAUUGAUGGAAUGAUGUAUAAGAAGACAUGGAUGGCAGCACACAAAGAAGAGGCACCUCGAAGAAUCGUUGCAUCCUGGAAGAACAGGUGCACUGCUGCCACCAUUAUCCGCGUACCUCCCUGCUACGUUUCUCCUCGUGCGCAGCUCGACGUGCUUGUGGCGCCGUUGCAAUACCGCCGCCGCCCUUACUCUUGUCCGCCAGCAUCAGCAUGUGGAAUGUGUGUGUGUGGCCGGCGACGCGCUCACCCGACGACCCCGGACCUGGUGCGGGGCGCAUGCAUCCUGCUGGACGACGUUGUAGUUAUCGCCGACACCGUCGUAGGCUAUGCCAGGAUCCGGCGGUGGAGGAGCGUGGACGUGAUCGAAGCGCCUAGUAGUCGAGCCGAUGCAGUAGAGCAAUCCGUGGACGCGACGGAUUGCGGAUGGUUCCCUCGGACGACGGCGUCGGCAUCAGCAGCUGGUCGGAGCUGCACCCCAUGGCUUUUUUGUCACGCCUAGAGCGGCAUCCUUGCCGUGCAUGGCCACGCGUAGCAGCGGCCCUCACACUGGACGGCAGCAUCAACUCUCCUCCUUUCAUCCCAACUCCACCCCGCCUCCCACGGCAGCACCGCACAUGUCGUCCUCCGCCGCGGCGAGCGCGUGGCAGCGCUCCCACCGUUGUGCCCUACUGCGGUGCUGCGUGACGGCGUGGAGAACUGCCGCCAUGCACAUGCCCAACGGGGAGCCGCCUCCACACCAGCUUGUUUGUGUCUGCCUGCGCCAUGCUGCAGUGUGCCGCCGUGCUUCUGCGAGGAGCUAGAUCAACUCAUCCAACUGCUGGCGAGUUGGAUGGCUACGGAACUGGAGCCGGCGGCGGACGGCCGAAAUCGCGGCAGUGAUCAACUCGAUGGAGAACAUGCACUCGAUGGUGGCUGUGAAAAUGAACAAUGAACACAGGAAAUAAAGGGAUCCUCUUUUAUAGGCUCGUACGGCGGUGGUGAUGUGCAUGCAGAUUUUGCGGGAGUCUUCUGGACACGAUGAAGGAUUUGACCGGAGGCUUCCAGAUAACAUGGGACACGCUGAAAGAGAUCAAUUAGAAAAAAGAAACUAAUGUCGAGAACCAACGACAAAAGCGGCGCUGCAUGGCUAACGUAGCCAUAUCAUGUAGCAAAUUCUUGAUUGGUCACCAACAAGGAAUAAAACAACAACAGUUUUGCUACGUCUCAGUUAACUUAGACUUCGUUAUAUCUCAGUCGAUGUUAUAUUUCAUUGAUCUUGCAUUAAGAUUCGUACAAAAAUUUCCUUUAAGUUUUUUCUUUUUCUUUUCAUAUACUAUAUUAUUUGAGUGAGACUUGGUUAAGUCUCAGUCGACUGAGACCUAGACACACCCAAACAACAAUAUCUAGCGAAGCAAACUCCUGAUUGCUCAAGCAAAAUACAUGCACUCAGGUUUAUAGAUAGCGAUGGAACAAAGCAGAAACGUCCAGAUGGGCGGUCGAAGCGGCACCGCUGUUUCUGAUGGAAAGACGGGCCUGACAAAGCAACACCAAUUGGACCAGCGAAGCACCGAAAACCAUUAGAAAGGCAGAGAAGCACCGAAAACCAUUAGAAAGCCAGAGAAGCACCGAAGCACAAAGAAUAUGUUGGGCUGCAAAGUCAACCGAUCUAACUGGCCCACCUAUAACAGAAAAUGCUAGGUAUACCAACUGAACAGGUACGCACAUUCAAAAAAAUUCAACCGAAAACCUAGAGACACCACACGUUUCUACACGGCCACAUCCCAAAUUAAUACACGUGCCAUGUAUAGGUUUACCAUAAGGUCAUUUUCAUACAAGUGGAUGAAUCUCAAGGCGAAAACCUUACCUGCAACAGAGGCUUGGGUAUGUAUUUUGAUUUCUGUAGGUCAUAUCUUAACUAGUCUAAAAUGUUGCAAUGCCAUGUCCACAAAUAUUCUUUAAGUCCGUAUACAAUAUAUGAGAUAAUACUUUACAACCUCAACUCCAAAUAUUGUCUCUCUUUUUUUGUCCUUAAUCAAUGGUUAUGUUAUAAUCAGUUUGAUGGAAUGCUACUGAAAAAUAUAAAUGAACAAAUGUUUGAAAAUGAGGUAUUGGAUCUUCCAUACAACCAGGAUGUUGGUGACUACUUAUAGUUCAAGGUGUUUUAUACUACAUUUAUAUUGUGUGAUCUGUUGGAAAUAUGCCCUGGAGGCAAUAAUAAAUGGUUAUUAUUAUAUUUCUUUAUUCAUGAUAAUUGUCUAUUGUUCAUGCUAUAAUUGUGUUAUCCGGAAAUCGUAAUACAUGUGUGUAUACAUAGACCACAACGUGUCCCUAGUAAGCCUCUAGUUGAUUAGCUCGUUGAUCAACAGAUAGUCAUGGUUUCCUGACUAUGGACAUUGGAUGUCAUUGAUAACGGGAUCACAUCAUUAGGAGAAUGAUGUGAUGGACAAGACCCAAUCCUAAGCAUAGCACACAAGAUUGUGUAGUUCGUUUGCUAGAGCUUUUCCAAUGUCAAGUAUCAUUUCCUUAGACCAUGAGAUCAUGCAACUCCCGGAUACCGUAGGAGUGCUUUGGGUGUACCAAACGUCACAACGUAACUGGAUGACUAUAAAGGUGCACUACGGGUAUCUCCGAAAGUGUCUGUUGGGUUGGCACGGAUCGAGACUGGGAUUUGUCACUCCGUAUGACGGAGAGGUAUCUCUGGGCCCACUCGGUAAUGCAUCAUCAUAAUGAGCUCAAUGUGACUAAGGAGUUAGUCACGGGAUCAUGCAUUACGGUACGAGUAAAGUGACUUGCCGGUAACGAGAUUGAACAAGGUAUUGGGAUACCGACGAUCGAAUCUCGGGCAAGUAACGUACCGAUUGACAAAGGGAAUUGUAUACGGGAUUGAUUGAAUCCUCGACAUCGUGGUUCAUCCGAUGAGAUCACCGUGGAACAUGUGGGAGCCAACAUGGGUAUCCAGAUCCCGCUAUUGGUUAUUGACCGGAGAGGCAUCUCGGUCAUGUCUGCAUGUCUCCCGAACCCGUAGGGUCUACACACUUAAGGUUCGGUGACGCUAGGGUUGUAGAGAUAUUAGUAUGGGGAAACCCGAAAGUUGUUCGGAGUCCCGGAUGAGAUCCCGGACGUCACGAGGAGUUCCGGAAUGGUCCGGAGGUGAAGAAUUAUAUAUAGGAAGUCAACUUUCGGCCACCGGGAAUGUUUCGGGGGUCACCGGUAUUGUACCGGACCACCGGAAGGGUCAUGGGGGUCCACCGGGUGGGGCCACCUAUCCCGGAGGGCCCCAUGGGCUGAAGUGGGAAGGGAACCAGCCCUUAGUGGGAUGGGGCGCCCCCCUUGGGCCUCCCCCUGCGCCUAGGGUUGGAAACCCUAGGGGUGGGGGGCGCCCCACUUGACUUGGGGGGGAAGUUUCCCCCCCGGCGGCCACCCCCCUUGUAGAUGGGUUCCAGGGCCGGCGCCCCCCUCCAGGGGGCCUAUAUAAAGGGGGGAGGGAGGGCUGCUGUACCCUAGCCCUUUGGCGCCUCCCUCUCCCCCUGCAACACCUCUCCCUCCCGCUUGCGCUUGGCGAAGCCCUGCCGAGAUCCCCGCUACUUCCACCACCACGCCAUCGUGCUGCUGGAUCUCCAUCAACCUCUCCUUCCCCUUGCUGGAUCAAGAACGUGGAGACGUCGCUGCUCCGUACGUGUGUUGAACACGGAGGUGCCGUCCGUUCGGCACUCGGUCAUCGGUGAUUUCGAUCACGACGAGUACGACUCCAUCAACCCCGUUCACUUGAACGCUUCCGCUCGCGAUCUACAAGGGUAUGUAGAUGCACUCCUUUCCCCUCGUUGCUAGUAUACUCCAUAGAUGGAUCUUGGUGAUGCGCAGGAAAUUUUAAAAUUCUGCUACGAUCCCCAACAGUGGAAUUAUGAGCCAGGCCUAAGCGUAGUUACUAUGCACGAGUAGAACACAAAGCAGUUGUGGGCGUAGAUGUUGCCAAUUCUUCUUGCCGCUACUAGUCUUAUCUUGUGUCGGCGGUAUUGUGGGAUGAAACGGCCCGGACCGACCUUACACGUACGCUUACGUGAGACAGGUUCCACCGACUGACAUGCACUAGUUGCAUAAGGUGGCUAGUGGGUGUCUGUCUCUCCCACUUUAGUCGGAACGGAUUCGAUGAAAAGGGUCCUUAUGAAGGGUAAAUAUAAAUUGGCAUAUCACGUUGUGGUUUUACGUAGGUAAGAAACGUUCUUGCUAGAAACCUAUACAAGCCACGUAAAAACUUGCAACAACAAUUAGAGGACGUCUAACUUGUUUUUGCAGCACGUGCCUUGUGAUGUGAUAUGGCCAGAAGAUGUGAUGAAUGAUAUAUGUGAUGUAUGAGAUUGAUCAUAUUCUUGUAAUAGGAAUUACGACUUACAUGUCGAUGAGUAUGACAACCGGUAGGAGCCAUAGGAGUUGUCUUUAUUUUUGUAUGACCUGCGUGUCAUUGAAUAACGCCAUGUAAAUUACUUUACUUUAUUGCUAAACGCGUUAGCCAUAGAAGUAGAAGUAAUCGUUGGCGUGACAACUUCAUGAAGACACAAUGAUGGAGAUCAUGAUGAUGGAGAUCAUGGUGUCAUGCCGGUGACGAAGAUGAUCAUGACGCCCCGAAGAUGGAGAUCAAAGGAGCAGAAUGAUAUUGGCCAUAUCAUGUCACUAUUUGAUUGCAUGUGAUGUUUAUCAUGUUUUGCAUCUUAUUUGCUUAGAACGACGGUAGUAAGUAAGAUGAUCCCUUAUAAUAAUUUCAAGAAAGUGUUCCCCCUAACUGUGCACCGUUGCGAAGGUUCGUUGUUUCGAAGCACCACGUGAUGAUCGGGUGUGAUAGAUUCUAACGUUCGCAUACAACGGGUGUUGACGAGCCUAGCAUGUACAGACAUGGCCUCGGAACACACGCAAUACACUUAGGUUGACUUGACGAGCCUAGCAUGUACAGACAUGGCCUCGGAACACGGAGGACCGAAAGGUCGAGCAUGAGUCGUAUAGAAGAUACGAUCAACAUGGAGAUGUUCACCGAUCUUGACUAGUCCGUCUCACGUGAUGAUCGGACACGGCCUAGUUAACUCGGAUCAUGUUUCACUUAGAUGACUAGAGGGAUGUCUAUCUGAGUGGGAGUUCAUUCAGUAAUUUGAUUAGAUGAACUUAAUUAUCAUGAACUUAGUCUAAAAUCUUUACAAUAUGUCUUGUAGAUCAAAUGGCCCACGUUGUCCUCAACUUCAACGCGUUCCUAGAGAAAACCAAGCUGAAAGAUGAUGGCAGCAACUAUACGGACUGGGUCCGGAACCUGAGGAUCAUCCUCAUAGCUGCCCAGAAAGAUAAUGUCCUAGAAGCACCGCUAGGUGAAGCACCAAUCCCAGAGAACCAAGACGUUAUGAACGCUUGGCAAUCACGUGCUGAUGAUUACUCCCUCGUUCAGUGCGGCAUGCUUUACAGCUUAGAACCGGGUCUCCAAAAGCGUUUUGAGAAACAUGGAGCAUAUGAGAUGUUCGAAGAGCUGAAAAUGGUUUUCCAUGCUCAUGCCCGGGUCGAGAGAUAUGAAGUCUCCGACAAGUUCUUCAGCUAUAAAAUGGAGGAAAAUAGUUCUGUCAGUGAGCACAUACUCAGAAUGUCUGGGUUACACAACCGCUUGUCUCAGCUGGGAGUUAAUCUCCCGGAUGACGCGGUCAUUGACAGAAUCCUUCAGUCGCUUCCACCGAGCUACAAGAGCUUUGUGAUGAACUUCAAUAUGCAGGGGAUGGAAAAGACCAUUCCUGAGGUAUAUUCAAUGCUGAAAUCAGCGGAGGUAGAUAUCAGAAAGGAACAUCAAGUGUUGAUGGUGAAUAAAACCACUAAGUUCAAGAAAGGCAAGGGUAAGAAGAACUUCAAGAAGGACGGCAAGGGAGUUGCCGCGCCCGGUAAGCCAGUUGCUGGGAAGAAGUCAAGGAAUGGACCCAAGCCUGAGACUGAGUGCUUUUAUUGCAAGGGAAGUGGUCACUGGAAGCGGAAUUGCCCCAAAUACUUAGCGGACAAGAAGGCCGGCAACACCAAAGGUAUAUGUGAUAUACAUGUAAUUGAUGUGUACCUUACCAGUAAUCGUAGUAGCUCCUAGGUAUUUGAUACCGGUGCGGUUGCUCAUAUUUGUAACUCAAAACAGGAACUGCGGAAUAGGCGGAGACUGGCAAAGGACGAGGUGACGAUGCGUGUCGGGAAUGGUUCCAAGGUCGAUGUGAUCGCCGUCGGCACACUACCUCUGCAUUUACCUACGGGAUUAGUUUUAAACCUCAAUAAUUGUUAUUUAGUGCCAGCUUUGAGCAUGAACAUUGUAUCUGGAUCUCGUUUAAUUCGAGAUGGCUACUCAUUUAAAUCCGAGAAUAAUGGUUGUUCUAUUUAUAUGAGAGAUAUGUUUUAUGGUCAUGCCCCGCUGGUCAAUGGUUUAUUCUUGAUGAAUCUCGAACGUGAUGUUACACAUAUUCAUAGUGUGAAUACCAAAAGAUGUAAAGUUGAUAACGAUAGUCUCACAUACUUGUGGCACUGCCGCCUUGGUCACAUUCGUCUCAAGCGCAUGAAGAAGCUCCAUGCAGAUGGACUUUUGGAGUCUCUUGAUUACGAAUCAUUUGACACGUGCGAACCAUGCCUCAUGGGUAAGAUGACCAAGACUCCGUUCUCCAGAACAAUGGAGCGAGCAACCAAUUUAUUUGGAAUCAUACAUAUCGAUGUGUGCGGUCCAAUGAGUGUUGAGGCUCGCGGAGGAUAUCGUUAUGUUCUCACUCUCACUGAUGACUUAAGUAGAUAUGGGUAUGUCUACCUAAUGAAACACAAGUCUGAAACCUUUGAAAAGUUCAAGGAAUUUCAGAAUGAGGUUGAGAAUCAACAUGACAGGAAAAUAAAGUUCUUACGAUCAGAUCGUGGUGGAGAAUAUUUAAGUCACGAAUUUGGUACGCACUUAAAGAAAUGUGGAAUCGUUUCACAACUCACGCCGCCUGGAACACCUCAGCGAAAUGGCGUGUCCGAACGUCGUAAUCGCACUCUAUUGGAUAUGGUGCGAUCUAUGAUGUCUCUUACCGAUCUACCGCUCUCAUUUUGGGGCUAUGCUUUAGAGACGGCCGCAUUCACUUUAAUAGGUCUCCGUCGAAAUCCGUUGAGAUGACACCGUAUGAAUUAUGGUUUGGGAAGAAACCUAAGCUGUCGUUUCUAAAAGUUUGGGGAUGCGAUGCUUAUGUCAAGAAACUUCAACCUGAAAAGCUCGAACCCAAGUCGGAAAAAUGCGUCUUCAUAGGAUACCCCAAGGAAACUAUUGGGUAUACCUUCUACCUCAGAUCCGAAGGCAAGAUCUUUGUUGCCAAGAACGGGUCCUUUCUGGAGAAAGAGUUUCUCUCGAAAGAAUUGAGUGGGAGGAAAGUGGAACUUGAUGAGGUGAUAGUCACCCCUUCCGAACCGGAAAGUAGCGCAGCGCGGGAAGAUGUUCCUGUGGUGCCUACACCGACUGGGGAGGAAGUUAAUGAUGAUGAUCAUGAAGCUUCGGAUCAAGUUACUGCUGAACUUCGUAGGUCCACAAGGACACGUUCCGCACCAGAGUGGUACGGCAACCCUUUCCUGUAAAUCAUGUUGUUAGACAACGGUGAACCUUCGAACUAUGAAGAAGCGAUGGCGUGCCCGGAUUUCGACAAAUGGCUAGAAGCCAUGAAAUCCGAGAUAGGAUCCAUGUAUGAAAACGAAGUAUGGACUUUGACUGACUUGCCCGAUGAUCGGCGAGCCAUAGAAAAUAAAUGGACCUUUAAGAAGAAGACAGACGCGGAUGGUAACGUGACCAUCUAUAAGGCUCGACUUGUCGCUAAGGGUUAUCGACAAGUUCAAGGGGUUGACUACGAUGAGACUUUCUCACCCGUAGCGAAGCUGAAGUCCGUCCGAAUCAUGUUAGCAAUUGCCGCAUUCUAUGAUUAUGAGAUAUGGCAAAUGGACGUCAAAACGGCAUUCCUUAACGGCUUUCUUAAGGAAGAAUUGUAUAUGAUGCAGCCGGAAGGUUUUGUCGAUCCUAAGAAUGCUAACAAGGUAUGCAAGCUCCAACGCUCUAUCUAUGGACUGGUGCAAGCAUCUCGGAGUUGGAACAUUUGUUUUGAUGAGAUGAUCAAAGCGUUUGGGUUUACACAGACUUAUGGAGAAGGCUGUGUUUACAAGAAAGUGAGUGGGAGCUCUGUAGCAUUUCUCUUAUUAUAUGUGGAUGACAUACUAUUGAUGGGAAAUGAUAUAGAAUUCUUGGAAAGUAUAAAGGCCUACUUGAAUAAGUGUUUUUCAAUGAAGGACCUUGGAGAAGCUGCUUAUAUAUUAGGCAUGAAGAUCUAUAGAGAUAGAUCAAGACGCCUCAUUGCUCUUUCACAGAGUACGUACCUUGACAAGAUAUUGAAGAAGUUCAAUAUGGAUCAGUCCAAGAAGGGGUUCUUGCCUGUAUUGCAAGGUGUGCAAUUGAGCACGGCUCAAUGCCCGACCACGGCAGAAGAUAGAGAAAAGAUGAGUGUCAUCCCCUAUGCCUCGGCCAUAGGGUCUAUUAUGUAUGCCAUGCUGUGUACCAGACCUGAUGUAAACCUUGUCGUAAGUUUGGUAGGAAGGUACCAAAGUAAUCCCGGCAUGGAACACCGGACAACGAUCAAGAAUAUCCUGAAGUACCUGAAGAGGACUAAGGAUAUGUUUCUCGUUUAUGGAGGUGACGAAGAGCUCGUCGUAAAGGGUUACGUCGACGCUAGCUUCGACACAGAUCUGGAUGACUCGAAGUCACAAACCGGAUACGUGUAUAUUUUGAAUGGAGGGGCAGUAAGCUGGUGCAGUUGCAAGCAAAGCGUCGUGGCGGGAUCUAAAUGUGAAGCGGAGUACAUGGCAGCCUCAGAGGCAGCGCAAGAAGCAGUCUGGAUGAAGGAGUUCAUUACCGACCUAGGGGUGAUUCCCAAUGCGUCGGGCCCGAUGACUCUCUUUUGUGACAACACUGGAGCUAUUGCCCUUGCCAAGGAGCCCAGGUUUCACAGGAAGACCAGGCAUAUCAAGCGUCGCUUCAACUCCAUUCGUGAAAGUGUUCAAAAUGGAGACAUAGAUAUUUGUAAAGUGCAUACGGACAUGAAUGUAGCAGAUCCGUUGACUAAACCUCUCCCUAGAGCAAAACAUGAUCAACACCAGAACGCUAUGGGUGUUCGAUUCAUCACAAUGUAACUAGAUUAUUGACUCUAGUGCAAGUGGGAGACUGUUGGAAAUAUGCCCUAGAGGCAAUAAUAAAUGGUUAUUAUUAUACUUAUUUGUUCAUGAUAAUUGUCUAUUGUUCAUGCUAUAAUUGUGUUAUCCGGAAAUUGUAAUACAUGUGUGAAUACAUAGACCACAACGUGUCCCUAGUAGGCCUCUAGUUGACUAGCUCGUUGAUCAACAGAUAGUCAUGGUUUCCUGACUAUGGACAUUGGAUGUCAUUGAUAACGGGAUCACAUCAUUAGGAGAAUGAUGUGAUGGACAAGACCCAAUCCUAAGCAUAGCAGAAAAGAUUGUGUAGUUCGUUUGCAAGAGCUUUUCCAAUGUCAAGUAUCAUUUCCUUAGACCAUGAGAUCGUGCAACUCCCGGAUACCGUAGGAGUGCUUUGGGUGUACCAAACAUCACAACGUAACUGGGUGACUAUAAAGGUGCACUACGGGUAUCUCCGAAAGUGUCUGUUGGGUUGGCACGGAUCGAGACUGGGAUUUGUCACUCCGUAUGACGGAGAGGUAUCUCUGGGCCCACUCGGUAAUGCAUCAUCAUAAUGAGCUCAAUGUGACUAAGGAGUUAGUCACGGGAUCAUGCAUUACGGUACGAGUAAAGUGACUUGCCGGUAACGAGAUUGAACAAGGUAUUGGGAUACCGACGAUCGAAUCUCGGGCAAGUAACGUACCGAUUGACAAAGGGAGUUGUAUACGGGAUUGAUUGAAUCCUCGACAUCGUGGUUCAUCUGAUGAAAUCAUCAUGGAACAUGUGGGAGCCAACAUGGGUAUCCAGAUCCCGCUGUUGGUUAUUGACCGGAGAGGCGUCUCGGUCAUGUCUGCAUGUCUCCCGAACCCGUAGGGUCUACACACUUAAGGUUCGGUGACGCUAGGGUUGUAGAGAUAUUAGUAUGGGGAAACCCAAAAGUUGUUCGGAGUCCCGGAUGAGAUCCCGGACGUCAGGAGGAGUUCCGGAAUGGUCCGGAGGUGAAGAAUUAUAUAUAGGAAGUCAAGUUUCGGCCACCGGGAAAGUUUCGGGGGUCACCGGUAUUGUACCGGGACCAGCGGAAGGGUCACGGGGGUCCACCGGGUGGGGCCACCUAUCUCGGAGGGCCCCAUGGGCUGAAGUGGGAAGGGAACCAGCCCUUAGUGGGCUGGGGCGCCCCCCUUGGGCCUCCCCCUGCGCCUAGGGUUGGAAACCCUAGGGGUGGGGGGCGCCCCACUUGACUUGGGGGGAAGUUUCCCCCCCUGGCCGCCGGCCCCCCUUGUAGAUGGGUUCCAGGGCCGGCACCCCCCUCCAGGGGGCCUAUAUAAAGGGGGGGAGGGAGGGUUGCUGUACCCUAGCCCUCUGGCGCCUCCCUCUCCCCUGCAACACCUCUCCCUCCCGCUAGCGCUUGGCGAAGCCCUGCCGAGAUCCCCGCUACUUCCACCACCACGCCGUCGUGCUGCUGGAUCUCCAUCAACCUCUCCUUCCCCCUUGCUAGAUCAAGAAGGAGGAGACGUCGCUGCUCCGUACGUGUGUUGAACACGGAGGUGCUGUCCGUUCGGCACUCGGUCAUCGGUGAUUUGGAUCACGACGAGUACGACUCCAUCAACCCCAUUCACUUGAACGCUUCUGCUCGCGAUCUACAAGGGUAUGUAGAUGCACUCCUUUCCCCUCGUUGCUAUUAUACUCCAUAGAUGGAUCUUGGUGAUGAGUAGGAAAUUUUAAAAUUCUGCUACGAUCCCCAACAUGAUCCAUGCCUAAUAUUCAGAAAUUUUACAUCACUUGCAAUUAUAUUCCAGAAUAAUAAUACUGCAGACUUCUACUUCUUAAGCACUGUGUUGGUUUUCCCUUGAAGAGGAAAGGGUGAUGGAGCAAAGUAGCAUAAGUAUUUCCCUUAGUUUUUGAGAACCAAGGUAUCAAUCCAGUAGGAGGCCACACACGAGUCACUCGCACCUACACAAACAAAUAAAUCCUUGCAACCAACGCGAUAAGGGGUUGUCAAUCCCUACACGGUCACUUACGAGAGUGAGAUCUGAUAGAUAUGAUAAGAUAAUAUUUUUUGUAUUUUUAUGGUAAAGAUGCAAAGUAAAAUCGAAGCAAAAUAAAAGACAAUGGAAAUAGCUUGUUGAUGGGAGAUUGAUAUGAUGGAAAAUAGACCCGGGGGCCAUAGGUUUCACUAGUGGCUUCUCUCAAGAGCAUAAGUAUUACGGUGGCUGAACAAAUUACUGUUGAGCAAUUGAAAGAAUUGAGCAUAGUUAUGAGAAUAUCUAGGUAUGAUCAUGUAUAUAGGCAUCACGUCCGAGACAACUAGAUCGACUCCUGCCUGCAUCUACUACUAUUACUCCACACAUCGACCGCUAUCGAGCAUGCAUCUAGAGUAUUAAGUUCAUAAGAACAGAGUAACGCUUUAAGCAAGAUGACAUGAUGUAGAGGGAUAAACUCAUGCAAUAUGAUAUAAACCCCAUCUUGUUAUCCUCGAUGGCAACAAUAAAUACGUGCCAUGCUGCCCCUACUGUCACUGGGAAAGGACAAUGCAAGAUUGAACCCAAAGCUAAGCACUUCUCCCAUUGUAAGAAAAAUCAAUCUAGUAGGCCAAACCAAACUGAUAAUUCGAAGAGACUUGCAAAGAUAACCGAUCAUACAUAAAAGAAUUCAGAGAAGAUUCAAAUAUUGUUCAUAGAUAAACUUGAUCAUAAACCCACAAUUUAUCGUUAUCAACAAACACACCGCAAAAGAAUUUUACAUCGAAUAGAUCUCCACGAGAGAGGGGGAGAACAUUGUAUUGAGAUCCAAAAAGAGAGAAGAAGCCAUGUAGCUAAUAACUAUGGACCAGAAGGUCUGAGGUAAACUACUCACACAUCAUCGGAGAGGCUAUGGUGUUGAUGUAGAAGCCCUCCGUGAUCGAUGCCCCCCUCCGGCGGAGCUCCGGAACGGGCCCCAAGAUGGGAUCUCACGAGUACAGAAGGUUGCGGCGGUGGAAUUAGGUUUUUGGCUCCGUAUCUGGUAGUUUGGGGGUACGUAGGUAUAUAUAGGAGGAAGGAGGUGGAGGAACAGGGGGCCCACGAGGGUGGAGGGCGCGCCUGGGGGGGUAGGCGCGCCCCCCUACCUCGUGCUCUCCUGGUUGAUGUCUUGACGUAGGGUCCAAGUCCUCUGGAUCACGUUCGUUCCAAAAAUCACGUUCCCGAAGGUUUCAUUCCGUUUGGACUCCGUUUGAUAUUCUUUUCUGCGAAACUCCGAAAUAGGCAAAAAAACAACAAUUCUGGGUUGGGCCUCUGGUUAAUAGGUUAGUCCCAAAAAUAAUAUAAAAGUGUAUAAUAAAGCCCAAUAAUGUCCAAAAUAGAAUAUAAUUUAGCAUGGAACAAUAAAAAAUUAUAGAUCCGUUGGAGACGUAUCACAGACACAGUGUUGCUCCUAUAGUACCAGGAGACAAUAUAAGUGGUGAAGUAGAGAGGAGCAACAGUUAAUGAGCAUGUGUGUUUUCUCAAUUGUUAUUACUUGUUAACUUUCUUAACUAGACGAAUAAAAUUAAGUUGAUAUUAUGCUAUAUAAAUUGGGUGUCCCUAUUUACUGAAAAUGAUUGUCGUAUAUGGAAACAUACAAUUAUAGGUCCUCCAUUGUAUACAGUAUGAUGAACAUAUAACAAAAUUAUAUCUUGACGAACAAAAUAGCUGGUCAAGGAUAUUUGACUCGAAUGGAUACUUGAUCAACGUGACCAACUACAUCCUUAAUAGAUAUUAGCCAGAUUGUCGGUGUACAAAAGAAGGGGCGCAGCUUUGUACCCCUUUACCUGUGUACGGGCAGUCGGAGCCGCGCCCACGGUCACACCAAGCAGAGCAGGGGAGGUGAGCCAAGGUAAGACCGAAGCCCAAGAUAACCAGAGCAACGCCAAGGCCAAGACCACAAAGAGUAGAGGGACGAAGCAGAUUCCCCCGGCAAGACCCUUGCCGGGACAGCUCGCCCCACACCAACAGAGCGAGCCACCCUUGAGCCCACGGUCCCCAACACCAUCAUCCACGUGGAGCCAGGAAUCGGGAGGCACCUCUGUGGUGGCAUGCAGAUCUUUGUGAAGACAUAUUCAAGAUCAGAUGAGGAUUAGAGGACAACGAUCCUCGGCAAGAUCCUUACCGAGGAGAGCCACAAGACCCCCGGCAAGAUUCUUGCCGGGGACGUCUGCACGCCAUGGCAAGACCCUUGCCGGGCCCCCCCGGCAAGGCUCUCGCCAAAGACGCCAACAGGGCCACUGCGAGGCCCGCACCAGCCAAGUCUCCACCGCCGUUCGCAUGCAGCUGCCAGCCCAAACCAGCUGGGCAGGCACCUGCAUGGCAACAUGCAGCUUCCAGGCCAACCCAGCAAGCGCCUGCAUGGCGGCAUGCAGAUCUUCGUGAAGACCCUACCACCGCGCCACCUCAGCUGCCUGCCUGCCUACAUGGCGCCGCACGCAUCGCUGGCUAGGGCGCGUGUCGAAGCGAGGACGAGCGGCGACAGACGGGACGGACCUUGCCCCCGUCCCCGAUAAAGCUAGGGGAUACCUCAGCUACGGAUUAAAUGUGCGCCUUUACACCUCCUGUAUGCCACUGUGGCAGCCCCUUUCGCCUAUAAAAGGAGGCCCAUGGCAUACUGGAGAAGGAUUCGGCUCUUUGGAACCACGCACUCACCACAGCUAGUUCGAGAGCUCAAGAACUCUCUGAAAUACACCCACCAAAGCAGGACUAGGGUUUUACGCAUCCUCGCGGCCCGAACCUGGGUAAACGAUCCUCGUGCAGGUUACUAAUCCUACUCUUCUCGCAACCCCGCGCCCCGGCAACCGUAGUAGGGAUUCUUGUGACCCCAUAGGUGUCGUUCCACACCGACAUCUUUGGCGCGCCAGGUAGGGGCCGCAAUUGUGAGAAUCUAGUCUAGUAGUUAGCCUAGCAGCUCUUCGUCGCCAUGGCUCCCAAGAAGAAUACGGCCACGGCGAUCGGCUUGUUGGGAGCCGAGCGGCCCGUGCUGGUGCGAACGAGCAGUGGACCGGUCGCGGACAGGACCCGGGCCACGGUCCGCAAGCACCAGCAUCGCCCUGGCAUUCAGAGCCUGGCGAGCGGCGUCGUUCGCGCGCCAGACAACCGGCCGCACGUCGCCAGAUCCAAAGACGGAGUUGGGCCCCCCGCAGGCGGCGCGGGGCCCUCCAGGGGUGUCGUUGUGCCACCUCCGGGUGGUGCAGCGACCUCCAAGACGCCCACACCAGCGACCACUGCGCGCUCUUCCCAUGGUGUGCGCGCCGAGCAGCGUCAUCAUGCUGGUGACCCUGGGCACCGCCGUUGGAAGAGCCCUGUGCGUCAUCCGCGGGAUGAAGGGGUUCAGCAUCCCGCCGAAGGGCUGGCAAAAAUGGCACGCAGCCGCUGGCUCGUGACAGAGCUCCUUCUAACUCAGUUAGAAGUCAAAGCGCGCCGCGAUCCACGCAGCUGUCGCCGCCGCCCACGCCAGCAGAAGCUUUGGCGCGCGCGCAGCUGCUCCUCGACUUCCCUCCUGCUGCAGAGAAGCUCGACGAGUGGAGGGCCACCAUCCGGAGCCUCGUCGCCGUCGCCAACAAAGACGAUCCGCGACCGGCGGGGCCCUCGGGUUAGUACUCCACUGAGCCGCCACGUCCUGGCGCUGGGAGGACCGGGCGAGCUGCGGCCACGGUGCACUCUCCUCCUCCUCGCCAGCCGGCACGGGCGUCGGCCCGUCGUGACGACGCUUGUGAUACCAUAUCCAUAGCGUCAUCCGACCCGCGGACCCCCCGCGACUAGUGCCAAGUUCUUCGAAAACGAUCUCACAAAGAUUCUCGGACCACCAUCGCGCGCCGGCGCGAUAUACGCCACCAGUCGGACAAGCGUGCGGGACCCGCUAUGGACCGCCCAGCACCGGGGGCUCCGGCAGCCUACCUUACGAGGUGGGCUGCCCGGCCUUUCCCGUGAGCUGCGGCAGUUCCAGUGGCCGUCCCACCGCACGUUCAAGCCUGACGUCGGCGAGAAGUACACUGGCAAGACCCAUCCGUCAAAGUUCCUCAGCAUCUACACCUUCGCAAUGCAGGCUGCCGGAGCUCGCGACGACAAGGUUUGAUCUGAUCCGUACCGACUCGAAGCGCAGCGGAAGAAGAGUCGGUGUAGAUCAUCGGUGCAGAUCCCCGCAGCUAGGAUUUACAACCUCCCAACCGUGAGGAUGUACUCCCUCUCCGGAUAGCCCUUCGGGAGGCGGUCGGACAGUCCCCAGGACAAUGUCGCGGACAGCCCUUCGGGAGGACCCUCGAAACUCGGAUGGAGACUCGGACAGCCCUUCGGGAGGACACUCGAAUAGCCCCUCGGGCAAAAGAUCGAAACUACAAUCUCUCUACGGGGUUGCACACAUACGGUGUCAGCUAUCCGGCAGGGCUUCGCCAUCCAGAACUAGUUCCUGCCGGAACCCAGACAGCCUUACGGCUCUACGAAACUCUUUUCGUGGGAGGGAGAGAAGAAGCCAGAUAAUGCAUGGCAUGUGUAUGAGAGCAAGCGAUGAGCUUUGGGCUGCCCACUCCUCCUCUAUUUAUAGGAAAGCCAAGGGGUAGGGAUGGCUCACAAAAACCCAAAAUGCCCAUGCAAAUGUCACACAUGAAGGGCAUAAUGGGGAGUGAAGUGGAGCUCCAUGGAGCCCCACACAUGUGGCCGGCCAACCCCCUUGGGGGACCCCCAUGAGGAGCAUGCUUGGCCCCCAAGCCCUUCUAGAAGCCUUUUGGAGAUAUCCCAAAAGGUGACUCACCAUAAAAUAUCCCAAAAAGCACUUUCACUAUUCACGACGACAUUUUUCAGCGUCUGUUCGAACUGAAAAUAUUUAUGUGGGCUUAGAACAUUUCCAGUACCCACCAAAAUUAUUUUCAACGCGUUCCGAAACAAUUCCAGUUUAGUGAUUUUCAUCUGCGAAAAGCAUCUGAAGUGGCUCCGGCAGGUCCGGAACAUUUCCGGUUUUUAUCUCAGAAAAUUCCAAAAAGCUUCCAGAUUGAUUCUGGCAUCCUCCAAGAAUUAUCAGGCAUGUGCCGAAACCAAUUUGACUUAAUGGUGUAUCCCGAAACAACUUUUCGGUAUCAUCGAAACUUAUCUGAUGACCUCUCUCUGCGGUACGAUUCCGCUGUCCGAAACUUUUCGGUGUCCGAAACUUUUUCGGUGAUUUUCUCUCAGAAUCCCUGUCUAGUAUUCAGCAGAUAGAUGACCCUUAAGCGUGUGACCCUAUAGGUUCGGUGAAGUAUAGACAUGACCUGGAACCCCUUCCGAUCAAUGAUCAACAUCGGAGCCGUGGACACCCAUAUUGACCCCUAUACCCACACGAAUGAAUAUUCGAGUGAACCUCCAGUUGCAGUGAGCUAUUCCUGUUGCUUCGCGAUAUGUCACAAACACCCGAGGUGAGAUUUAUUGCAUGCCCAUGGACGAACAAUUUGUCCACCAUGCAAGUUACCUCGUUACUGGUUUUGUUCUCUUUUCUCGUUUCUGUGUUCCGGCAUCCCAGUGAUCAAAUCACAAUGUGUCUGGCCAGACGAUGAUGGAUACCGUUACACCGAGACGGCCCGAGUAUAUCUCUCCAUCAUCGGAGGAGCAAAUCCCAAUCUUGAGCUAUCUUGUUACUUCCUAUACUUUUCCGUGAACCCGAAAGCUGCCGUAAUAGCCACCCAGUUACGGAUAACGUUUAACAAACCCCAAAGUUCACGAAGCAAGCACGAAGGAACUUGAUACUCUCAUGGUCUAAGGAAUUAUGCAAACAUUAACUAUCUCAAUGAUAUUAACCAUAAACUUGUGACGAAGGUAUCUCAUAGCAUAACAUCAAUCCGGGUUGAUUCAACACAAGCGUUCUACCAAACUUGUGCCCUCAAAAUUGCCGGCAUAGUCAUGCCCAUGAUCAGGAAACAGGAUCAUCAUGCAUUACUUGAGCUAGUCUUAGAGGCAAGACUAGGAACAUAUUUUACCGUUUUUUAUACCACACGUGCAUAUGAGUUCCCUCCGAGCCUCGUGGAUAUUGUAGACUCGAGAAUCAUUGCAGUUAUAGCAUGGAUCAUAAACAUUCAUUACAAACUUGGAGAUACAAAAUAACUGUUAUUACUGCCUCUAGGGCAUAUCUCCUACACUCAACUCCAAAUAUUGUCUCUGUUUUUGUCUUUCAUAUAUAUUUAAUCAACGGGUGAUGUUAUAGUCAGUUUGAUGGGAUGCUACUGAAAAAAAUAAAUGAAAUUUUUUAUGAAAAUGAGGUAUUGGAUCUUCCAUACAACCAGGAUGUUGGUGACUACUUACAAUUCAAGGUAUUUUAUGCUACAUUUACAUCUUGUAAUCCAUGCCUAAUAUUUAGAAAUUUUACAUCACUUGCAAUUAUAUUCCAGAAUAAUAAUACUGCAGACACAGUGUUGCUCCUAUAGUACCAGGUGACAAUAAAAGUGGUGAAGUAGAGAUGAGCAAGAGUUAAUGAGCAUGUGUGUUUUUCUCAAUUGUUUCUACUUGUUAACUUUCUUAACUAGACGAAUAAAAUUAAGCUGAUAUUAUGCUAUAUAAACUGGGUGUCCCUAUUUACUGAAAAUGAUUGUGGAAUAUGCAAACAUACAGUUAUAGGUCCUCCAUUCUUUACAAUAUGAUGAACAUAUAACAAAAUUAUAUCUUGACGAACACAAUAGCUGGUCAAGGAUAUUUGACUUGAAUGGCUACUUGAUCAACGUGACCAACUACAUCCUUAAUAGAUAUUAGUCAGAUCAACAGCUAACGAAGUACUAAAUUGUGAAUGUUCAUCACAUACGUGUCUACAACCCCUAAUAAAUUCAGAUUAAUAUAUGUAAUACAAAAAGAGAAACAAAAAAGAGAAAUUGAACAUGAAUAGUGUUAAAAGGACACUAUUCACAUCUGGAUUUCUGUUUGUGUAUUUCAUAUUUUGAUCUGAAUUUUUUAGGGCAUGUGCACAUAUACGUGACGAACACUAAAAAGAAAAUCAAAAUAUUUUAACACAUCUAAAGUUGAACUUGUCGACCUUGUAUCAUGUUAUCACAUGAAUGAUGGUAUCACAUGAUAUUCUCCCUAGUAUCAGCAUACAAGUAUACAAAAAUGUCGUUGUUUAUUGAACAUAAAUUGUCGAUGUUUUCGUAGCUCGUCCUGAACAAAAAUUUACGUGCUUGAUGAUCGCAGUCAUGUUUGGGAUGAGAGAGAUAGACAUCGAGUUUUUGUAGCGCCAACUUAAGAACCAUUAGUUGCCCUUGAAGACGAGGUAAUUUACUGUAUCCUAAUGCUUCUGUAUUUUCAUUUAUGUAGAACAUAUAUGAACCAGUCCAAAAUGGUGCGUGCCAUGUCCGCAAAGUAUUCUUUAAGUCCAUAUACAAUAUAUGAGAUAAUACUUUAUAGCCUCAAGUCCAAAUAUUGUCUCUGUUUUGACAUAUAUAUAUAUAUAUAUAUAUAUAUNNNNNNNNNNNNNNNNNNNNNNNNNNNNNNNNNNNNNNNNNNNNNNNNNNNNNNNNNNNNNNNNNNNNNNNNNNNNNNNNNNNNNNNNNNNNNNNNNNNNNNNNNNNNNNNNNNNNNNNNNNNNNNNNNNNNNNNNNNNNNNNNNNNNNNNNNNNNNNNNNNNNNNNNNNNNNNNNNNNNNNNNNNNNNNNNNNNNNNNNNNNNNNNNNNNNNNNNNNNNNNNNNNNNNNNNNNNNNNNNNNNNNNNNNNNNNNNNNNNNNNNNNNNNNNNNNNNNNNNNNNNNNNNNNNNNNNNNNNNNNNNNNNNNNNNNNNNNNNNNNNNNNNNNNNNNNNNNNNNNNNNNNNNNNNNNNNNNNNNNNNNNNNNNNNNNNNNNNNNNNNNNNNNNNNNNNNNNNNNNNNNNNNNNNNNNNNNNNNNNNNNNNNNNNNNNNNNNNNNNNNNNNNNNNNNNNNNNNNNNNNNNNNNNNNNNNNNNNNNNNNNNNNNNNNNNNNNNNNNNNNNNNNNNNNNNNNNNNNNNNNNNNNNNNNNNNNNNNNNNNNNNNNNNNNNNNNNNNNNNNNNNNNNNNNNNNNNNNNNNNNNNNNNNNNNNNNNNNNNNNNNNNNNNNNNNNNNNNNNNNNNNNNNNNNNNNNNNNNNNNNNNNNNNNNNNNNNNNNNNNNNNNNNNNNNNNNNGGUAUUGGAUCCUCCAUACAACCAGGAUGUUGGUGACUACUUACAGUUCAAGGUAUUUUAUGCUACAUUUAUAUCGUGUGAUCCAUGCCUAAUAUUCACAAAUUUUACAUCACUUGGAAUUAUAUUCCAGAAUAAUAAUACUGCAGACACAGUGUUGCUCCUAUAGCACCAGGUUAUAAUAUAAGUGAUGAAGUAGAGAGGAGCAAGAGUUAAUGAGCAUGUCAGUUUUUCUCAAUUGUUUCUACGUGUUAGCUUUCUUCACUAGACGAAUAAAAUUAAGAUAAUAUUAUGCUAUAUAAAUUGGGUGUCCCUAUUUACUGAAAAUGAUUGUCGAAAAUGGCAACGUACAAUUAAGAUAAUAUUGUCGAAAAUGGCAACGUUUGGGAUGAGAGAGAUAGACAUCGAGUUUUUGUAGCGUCAGCUUACAAACCAUUAGUUGCCCCUAAAAACAAGGUAAUUUACUGUAUCCUAAUGCUUACUAGCGAACCCGGCGCGGCGGCACGCCGCGCCUGUUAAUAGGGGGGUAUUGUAUGUAUUGGAAUAUCUUGCAUGUACACUCUUUUCAUCACAUGGCAAUUAUAGGGAAAAAGCUGCAUUGUAACCAUCCCACAAGGCAAUUAAAGAGAAAAGUUUUGCCUUCAUAACUAUCUUAUGAUGGCAUACAACUUAGAUGGAAAGAAGACACACUAUUACAUUCCGGAGAAGAUUCUCUUAUUGUGACUAAACAUGACGUGCUGAAAGGAAACUAACACGACGGGAACUAGCACGGUGGGAAGACACACAAGAUACCAAAAGAGUUCAAACGUGAGUACAAAUGGCAUUGGAGCUUGAAAUCAAAUCAUCCUGGUAUAUACCCACCGUGAGGUUAGGACCAAUAAUGAAAUGAACCAAGAUAUACACUACUGUGUAGACAUCAAGCAUGCAUCGUACUUGUUCCCAGAUCGAACAACCUAGCUCUCAUGUUUGGCCUCCUCCUAAGGUUGUUUCGUCUAUAGUCCUAGUACUUCCUUUUAUCAAGCAUGCAAGCAAUAGCUCAUGAGCUUCUCAAGACCGAGUCCCAAAUCAGCAACCUCUAUAUUUUUUUCCUUCUUCACCCAAAACAAUCAGCCUUAGCUCGGGAACAUUUACAAAAGGAACAAAAAUCCUGGUUGGGAGUCAUAUAGCGCUUUGUUAUUAGCACUUUGUAUCUCCGAAAAAAUAUAAGAUGUAACAUAAGAACCUCAUCUAUCAGCCUUUAAACCGUAGAAAAUUUACGUGAAUGUGAAAUUUAAAAGACAUUCUCGUUUUGGAUUGCCCAUGCAGUUUGUAACUGUGGUUGUGGUAAUUGACACAAAAGAUCAGAUAUAUUCAAGGAUCCUAACUGAACGGAAG